Molecule: ribosomal RNA, 226 nt
Filed under: uncultured bacterium
Lineage: Bacteria
Description: partial 16S ribosomal RNA
Rfam family: Bacterial small subunit ribosomal RNA
Source: RNAcentral
UACAGGGGGAGUAACAAGUCAGAAAUGACUGCUAAUACCGCAUAAGACCACAGCACCGCAUGGUGGCAGGGGUAAAAACGUACCGGUGGUACAGGAUGGACCCGCGUCUGAUUAGCUGGUUGGUGAGGUAACAGCUCACCAAGGCGACGAUCAGUAGCCGGCUUGAGAGAGUGAACGGCCACAUUGGGACUGAGACACGGCCCAAACUCCUACGGGAGGCAGCAUG